RNAcentral lists this ribosomal RNA (274 nucleotides) under uncultured bacterium. RNAcentral's name for it is "partial 16S ribosomal RNA". It matches the Rfam family "Bacterial small subunit ribosomal RNA", at positions 523 to 796 of the family's 1533-position model. The record is from RNAcentral.
AGACGGGGGGUGCUAGCGUUGUUCAGAAUUACUGGGCGUAAAGGGCGCGUAGGCGGCUCUGCGAGUCGGGCGUGAAAUCCCGGGGCUCAACCCCGGAACGGCGCUCGAUACUGCGGGGCUGGAGACCGGAAGCGGAGGGUGGAAUUCCCAGUGUAGAGGUGAAAUUCGUAGAUAUUGGGAGGAACACCGGUGGCGAAAGCGGCUCUCUGGUCCGGUUCUGACGCUGAGGCGCGAAAGCGUGGGGAGCAAACAGGAUUAGAAACCCGAGUAGUCC